GAUGAACGCUGACAGAAUGCUUAACACAUGCAAGUCAACUUGAACUUCGGUUUGGGUGGCGGACGGGUGAGUAACGCGUAAAGAACUUGCCUCACAGAUAGGGACAACAUUUGGAAACGAAUGCUAAUACCUGAUAUUAUGAUUUUAGGGCAUCCUAGGAUUAUGAAAGCUAUAUGCGCUGUGAGAGAGCUUUGCGUCCCAUUAGCUAGUUGGUGGGGUAACGGCUCACCAAGGCGACGAUACAUAGCCGACCUGAGAGGGUGAUCGGCCACACUGGGACUGAGACACGGCCCAGACUCCUACGGGAGGCAGCAGUAGGGAAUCUUCGGCAAUGGACGGAAGUCUGACCGAGCAACGCCGCGUGAGUGAAGAAGGUUUUCGGAUCGUAAAGCUCUGUUGUAAGAGAAGAACGAGUGUGAGAGUGGAAAGUUCACACUGUGACGGUAUCUUACCAGAAAGGGACGGCUAACUACGUGCCAGCAGCCGCGGUAAUACGUAGGUCCCGAGCGUUGUCCGGAUUUAUUGGGCGUAAAGCGAGCGCAGGCGGUUAGAUAAGUCUGAAGUUAAAGGCUGUGGCUUAACCAUAGUACGCUUUGGAAACUGUUUAACUUGAGUGCAAGAGGGGAGAGUGGAAUUCCAUGUGUAGCGGUGAAAUGCGUAGAUAUAUGGAGGAACACCGGUGGCGAAAGCGGCUCUCUGGCUUGUAACUGACGCUGAGGCUCGAAAGCGUGGGGAGCAAACAGG
RNAcentral lists this ribosomal RNA (744 nucleotides) under uncultured Streptococcus sp. Its description in RNAcentral is "bacterial SSU rRNA". It matches the Rfam family "Bacterial small subunit ribosomal RNA", at positions 28 to 776 of the family's 1533-position model. The record is from RNAcentral. Lineage: Bacteria; Bacillati; Bacillota; Bacilli; Lactobacillales; Streptococcaceae.